This 520-nucleotide ribosomal RNA is filed under the name uncultured Glomus. RNAcentral's name for it is "SSU rRNA". It matches the Rfam family "Eukaryotic small subunit ribosomal RNA", at positions 569 to 1087 of the family's 1831-position model. The record is from RNAcentral. Lineage: Eukaryota; Fungi; Glomeromycota; Glomeromycetes; Glomerales; Glomeraceae.
AGCAGCCGCGGUAAUUCCAGCUCCAAUAGCGUAUAUUAAAGUUGUUGCAGUUAAAAAGCUCGUAGUUGAAUUUCGGGGUUAGUAGGUUGGUCAUGCCCCUGGUAUGUACUGGUCUCACUGAUUCCUCCUUCCUUAUGAACCGUAAUGCCAUUAAUUUGGUGUUGCGGGAAAUUUGGACUGUUACUUUGAAAAAAUUAGAGUGUUUAAAGCAAGCUAACGCUUGAAUACAUUAGCAUGGAAUAAUGAAAUAGGACGUUCGAUCUUAUUUUGUUGGUUUCUAGGAUUGACGUAAUGAUUAAUAGGGAUAGUUGGGGGGCAUUAGUAUUCAAUUGUCAGAGGUGAAAUUCUUGGAUUUAUUGAAGACUAACUACUGCGAAAGCAUUUUGCCAAGGAUGUUUUCAUUAAUCAAGAACGAAAGUUAGGGGAUCGAAGACGAUCAGAUACCGUCGUAGUCUUAACCAUAAACUAUGCCGACUAGGGAUCGGAUGAUGUUAAUUUUUUUAAUGACUCAUUCGGCGCC